This 183-nucleotide ribosomal RNA is filed under the name uncultured bacterium. RNAcentral's name for it is "partial 16S ribosomal RNA". It matches the Rfam family "Bacterial small subunit ribosomal RNA", at positions 1318 to 1500 of the family's 1533-position model. The record is from RNAcentral.
CCAUGAAGUUGGAAUUGCUAGUAAUCGCGGAUCAGCAUGCCGCGGUGAAUACGUUCCCGGGCCUUGUACACACCGCCCGUCACACCAUGGGAGUUUGUAACACCCGAAGUCAGUGUCCCAACCGCAAGGAGGGAGCUGCCGAAGGUGGGAUAAGCGACUGGGGUGAAGUCGUAACAAGGUAAC